UCCUUCGGGAUUAGUGGCAGACGGGUGAGUAACGCGUGGCAAGCUACCGUCUGUGGUAGGGGACAACAGUGUGGAAACGACGUGCUAAUACACCAUAUGAGCCCUAUGGGGGAAAGUAUUUAUCGCCAUGAGAUGUGCCGCGCGUUAGAUUAUGACAUAGUUGGUAAUGGUAAUGGCUUACCAAGGCGACGAUCUAUAGCUGGUCUGAGAGGAUGAUCAGCCACACUGGGACUGAGACACGGCCCAGACUCCUACGCGGAGGCAGCUAGUGGGGAAUAUUGGACUAAUGGGGGCAACCCUCGUAUCCAGUCCAUGCCGCGUGUGUGAUGACGUGCCUUAGUGGUUGUAAAGCACUUUCAUGCAGUGAAGAUAAUGUACAGUAUAACUGCAGAAGAAGCCCCGGCUAACUUCGUGCCAGCAGCCGCGUGUAAUACGAAGGGUGGCUAGCGUUGUUCGGAAUCACUGGGCGUAAAGAGUACGUAGGCGGACUGACUAAUGUUAGGGGUGAAAUCCCAAGGCUCAACCUUGGAACUGCCUUUGAUACUGUCAGUCUUGAGAUCGAGAGAGGUGAGUGGAACUCCGAGUGUAGAGGUGAAAUUCGUAGAUAUUCGGAAUGAACAUCCAGUGGCGAAAGGCGGCUUCACUGGCUCUAUACUGACGCUGAGGUACGAAAAGCGUGGGGAGCAAAACAGGGAUUAGAUACCCUGGUAGUCCACGCCGUAUACGAUAGAAUGCUAGUUGUCAGGUAGCUUGCUUAUUUGGUGAUGCAACUAACGCAUUUAAGCAUUCCGCCUGGGGAGUAC
Molecule: ribosomal RNA, 803 nt
Filed under: Pseudovibrio sp.
Lineage: Bacteria; Pseudomonadati; Pseudomonadota; Alphaproteobacteria; Hyphomicrobiales; Stappiaceae
Description: bacterial SSU rRNA
Rfam family: Bacterial small subunit ribosomal RNA
Source: RNAcentral